GACAGACACAGCUAAUCAUUACUGGAAAAUUAAGCUGUGGCCCAAAGUUACGGUUGUAAUGAAACAGUAAGAUAUCUGUCUUCCUCCUAGAGUGAAAUUCAAAGGCACUGAGCAUUCAGGGAGAAGCAACACCUAAUGUGGAACAGCAAGGACCGUGACUCCAGAGUCAGACUGGAAGAGUAAAGGCCUGGCUCUAGGGCAUCUACUAAUGACUUCGAAGCUGACAAACG
Molecule: long non-coding RNA, 230 nt
Filed under: Mus spicilegus (steppe mouse)
Lineage: Eukaryota; Metazoa; Chordata; Mammalia; Rodentia; Muridae
Description: lncRNA (ENSMSIG00000011681.1)
Source: RNAcentral